This 1829-nucleotide long non-coding RNA is filed under the name Homo sapiens (human). RNAcentral's name for it is "HSALNT0108493". Lineage: Eukaryota; Metazoa; Chordata; Mammalia; Primates; Hominidae. The record is from RNAcentral.
UCAUCUUAAAUGGUGUCUACCUUAUAUCUACACUAAACUUAUUAAUUUUUAUAACUCAGCCUCAUACCUUUUUAGCCUGUCGUUUUAACAUUGCAAUCAAAUAAAAAACCUUUUUUAUUUCUUCACCUAUGUUUGCAUUUCCAAUUUAAAAUAGAUAACUAAACCUUGUUUUAUGUUUAAAAUUUAAAUUUCUAUUUGAUAAGCAAUAUAUAUUCAUUAUAGAAAAUUAUACAAUGUAAGAAAAAUGAAAAAGAAAAUAAAAAGUGCUAUCCAUGACCAUGUAAUUUUGCUAAUUCAGCUUUCCCAAUGGUGCCCUGUAUUCCUUGCAAUCAAAAAUAGAUUCUUGACUAUGAAGCUACUGUUGCUCCAAUCAGUAUUACUUUAAUCUUACCAUUUUCUUUUUCUCAGUGUAUGCUCUCUGUGUUUGUCAGAGAGGUUUUCCUGCAUUCCAAAAGACUUUGAAGCUGGUUUAAUUCAAGAAUUUGUGUGUAUGCAUACAAUUAUGAUUAAUGUAGCUUCAGAUGAGAUCCUACUAGGUUUGGCAAUAAAUUAAACCCAUCUACUGUUCUUUUCAGGUAGUAUCCAGGGGACAGUUGGUGGCUGUAGGAAAACAAAAUUCAACAAUGUUCUCUUUAACACCAGAAAAUUCUUGGACUCCAAAAGCCUGUGUAAUUGUGUAUUAUAUUGAAGAUGAUGGGGAAAUUAUAAGUGAUGUUCUAAAAAUUCCUGUUCAGCUUGUUUUUAAAAAUAAGAUAAAGCUAUAUUGGAGUAAAGUGAAAGCUGAACCAUCUGAGAAAGUCUCUCUUAGGAUCUCUGUGACACAGCCUGACUCCAUAGUUGGGAUUGUAGCUGUUGACAAAAGUGUGAAUCUGAUGAAUGCCUCUAAUGAUAUUACAAUGGAAAAUGUGAGUUUAGCUAUUUUUUCAUUAUGAAAAUAUGUAUUACAAGAGAAAGAGGAAACUUUAUUGUACUACUUUAAAUAUUUAAAGAAAAUUUCAUUAGUUCCUUUGCAUGUGUAAGUCAAUAAUUAGUAAAGCUUCCAAAUAAAAAGUAAUCUGUAUCGUAAUGGUUAUGUUGGAAAGAAGCUUAUGUGGUUAAGUGUCCUUGCUCUCUUUCAUCAGAAUUAUCACCUAAAGUUAGAUGGGAGGAAUAAAUUCUGGAGGUCUGUGGUACAACAUGGUGACUGUAGUUAAUGAUAAUGUACCAUAUACUUGAAAAUUGCUAAAAGAGUAGAUUUGAAAUGUUCUCACCACAAAAAAUGAUCAGUAUGUAGUAUGCAAGGUGAUAGAUAUGUUAAUUAGCUUAAUCAUUCCACAGUAUAUACAAAUAUCAAUAUAUCACAUUGUACUCCAUAAAUAUAUACAAUAAAAAAUGCCACCUAUAGUUUUCCUUCAUUUUCAUACUACAUUUUAAGACACUCAAGAAAGUACUAGGAAAUUGACUUGCAUUAUUCUGGGUUACGUUGGAUAAGAGAGCUUUAGAUAAUUUUUGAAGUGUGUUCUAUUUUGGUUAUACGUAAUGGUUAUAAAUAAUUACAGCACCCAUUGUGCCGGGCAUGGUGGCUCAUGCCUGUAAUCUCAGCACUUUGGGAGGCCGAGGUGGGUGGAUCACGAGGUCAGGAGAUCGAGACCAUCUUGGCUAACAUGGUGAAACCCCAUCUCUACUAAAAAUACAAAAAAUUAGCCGGGCGCGGUGGCGGGCGCCUGUAGUCCCAGCUACUCGGGAGGCUGAGGCAGGAGAAUGGCAUGAAUCCCAGGAGGCGGAGCUUGCAGCGAGCAGAAAUCGUGCCACUGCACUCCAGCCUGGGUGACAGAGCAAGACUCUGUCUC